UCGCUUACUUCAGCAGCACAUGUACUGAAAACUAGAAUGAUAGACAUUAGCAUGGCCCCUGCACAAGGAUGACACAGAAAUCUGUGAAGUAUUCCGUAUUAAA
This 103-nucleotide small nuclear RNA is filed under the name Bison bison bison. The record is from RNAcentral. Lineage: Eukaryota; Metazoa; Chordata; Mammalia; Artiodactyla; Bovidae.